GUCAUACUACGGUGCAACACCUGGUAAAGUAAACGGUGGGUGACCCCCGCGGAACUUCGCGGUAAAAUAUUUAUCAAAUUGCCAUAACAGACUGGCCCGGCGCUUCUCCGGGUCGGUUUUCUUU
This is a regulatory RNA element of Shimwellia blattae, 124 nucleotides long. It matches the Rfam family "Enterobacteria greA leader". NCBI's taxonomy places the organism in Bacteria, Pseudomonadati, Pseudomonadota, Gammaproteobacteria, Enterobacterales, Enterobacteriaceae. The record is from Rfam.